This is a non-coding RNA of Podarcis lilfordi (Lilford's wall lizard), 243 nucleotides long. The record is from the annotation of a GenBank genome assembly. Lineage: Eukaryota; Metazoa; Chordata; Lepidosauria; Squamata; Lacertidae.
GUCGUUUAGUCGUGUCCGACUCUUCGUGACCCCAUGGACCAGAGCACGCCAGGCACUCCUGUCUUCCACUGCCUCCCACAGUUUGGUCAAACUCAUGCUGGUAGCUUCAAGAACACUGUCCAGCCAUCUCGUCCUCUGUCGUCCCCUUCUCCUUGUGCCCUCCAUCUUUCCCAACAUCAGGGUCUUUUCCAGGGAGUCUUCUCUUCUCAUGAGGUGGCCAAAGUAUUGGAGUCUCAGCUUCAC